Molecule: ribosomal RNA, 516 nt
Filed under: uncultured fungus
Lineage: Eukaryota; Fungi
Description: SSU rRNA
Rfam family: Eukaryotic small subunit ribosomal RNA
Source: RNAcentral
AUUAGAUAAAAAACCAAUGCCCUUCGGGGCUCCUUGGUGAUUCAUGAUAACUAAACGAAUCGCAUGCCCUUGCGCCGGCGAUGGUUCAUUCAAAUUUCUGCCCUAUCAACUUUCGAUGGUAGGAUAGUGGCCUACCAUGGUCUCAACGGUAACGGGGAAUUAGGGUUCGAUUCCGGAGAGGGAGCCUGAGAAACGGCUACCACAUCCAAGGAAGGCAGCAGGCGCGCAAAUUACCCAAUCCCAACUCGGGGAGGUAGUGACAAUAAAUAUUGAUGAUGAGCUCUUUCGGGUUUGUCAAUUGAAAUGAGUACAAUUUAAAUCCCUUAACGAGGAACAAUUGGAGGGCAAGUCUGGUGCCAGCAGCCGCGGUAAUUCCAGCUCCAAUAGCGUAUAUUAAAGUUGUUGCAGUUAAAAAGCUCGUAGUUGAACCUUGGGUCUGGCUGACUCGUCCUCCUAAUCGAGCGCACGGGUUUGGUCGGACCUUUCCUUCUGGGGAGCCUUAUACCCUUCAUUGGG